CGCCUAUUACUUAUACACCAAAAGAAAUAAAAAAGUGAUGCUUGAUGGUCCUACCUCCUUUCCUCUACAUCAAGAAAAAUUAUAAACGGUAGAAAUCAAAGAAAAUAUUCACCUGAUUGGUAAUAACCAAUCAAAUGAAGAGACAAACCCAAAAAUAAGUCGAAUGAACCUCCUGUGAGCCACCAUUGAACCAAAAUCAUGAACAAAAUCUUCCAUCUAUUCAUCAUCUUCUGAAUCAGAUCUUAUAUC
This 249-nucleotide unclassified non-coding RNA is filed under the name Hevea brasiliensis (rubber tree). The record is from RNAcentral. Lineage: Eukaryota; Viridiplantae; Streptophyta; Magnoliopsida; Malpighiales; Euphorbiaceae.